CGCGCAGGCGGGCUUGUAAGUCAGUGGUGAAAUACUGCCGCUCAACGGUAGAACUGCCAUUGAUACUGCAAGUCUUGAAUAUGGUUGAGGUAGGCGGAAUGUGUCGUGUAGCGGUGAAAUGCAUAGAUAUGACACAGAACGCCGAUUGCGAAGGCAGCUUACUAAGCCAUUAUUGACGCUGAGGCACGAAAGCGUGGGGAGCGAACAGGAUUAGAUACCCUGGUAGUC
This 228-nucleotide ribosomal RNA is filed under the name uncultured bacterium. RNAcentral describes it as "partial 16S ribosomal RNA". It matches the Rfam family "Bacterial small subunit ribosomal RNA", at positions 568 to 795 of the family's 1533-position model. The record is from RNAcentral.